This 440-nucleotide ribosomal RNA is filed under the name uncultured fungus. RNAcentral's name for it is "eukaryotic LSU rRNA". The stretch from base 70 to 223 matches the Rfam family "5.8S ribosomal RNA". The record is from RNAcentral. Lineage: Eukaryota; Fungi.
UGGGAAGGAUAUGAUAAACUCUUGUUGUUGUGUCAUUAGUCUGAGUGGUAAACACAUGAAACAAGUUAAAACUUUCAACAACGGAUCUCUUGGUUCUCGCAUCGAUGAAGAACGCAGCGAAAUGCGAUAAGUAGUGUGAAUUGCAGAAUUCAGUGAAUCAUCGAAUCUUUGAACGCACAUUGCGCCUUCUGGUAUUCCGGGAGGCAUGCCUGUUCGAGCGUCAUCAAACACAUNCUCAAGCACUUUUGCUUGGUAUUGGUGGCAGAUGUCCGCAUCUCCUCUUAAAUUCCUCAGCGGAAACUACUGCGGUCUCAGGUGUCAUAAGAUUACCUUUCGCUUGAUAACUGCCGGUAGGUUCUUGCUGUGAAGAGCCCCCCAGCUAUUCUUUUACGUUUGACCUCGAAUCAGGUAGGGAUACCCGCUGAACUUAAGCAUAUCAA